This 766-nucleotide ribosomal RNA is filed under the name uncultured marine bacterium. Its description in RNAcentral is "bacterial SSU rRNA". It matches the Rfam family "Bacterial small subunit ribosomal RNA", at positions 68 to 845 of the family's 1533-position model. The record is from RNAcentral.
CGAGUACGGACUUCGGUCCAUAUGUACGAGUGGCGAACGGGUGAGUAACACGUGAGAAACCUGCCUCGGAGACCGGGACAACCAUUGGAAACGAUGGCUAAUACCGGAUGCCCUCGAACGGUCGCGUGGCCGAUCGAGGAAAUGAUCCGUUGCUCCGGGAGGGUCUCGCGGCCUAUCAGCUUGUUGGUGAGGUAAUGGCUCACCAAGGCAUCGACGGGUAGCUGGUCUGAGAGGACGAUCAGCCACACUGGAACUGAGACACGGUCCAGACUCCUACGGGAGGCAGCAGCAGGGAAUAUUGCACAAUGGGCGAAAGCCUGAUGCAGCGACACCGCGUGCGGGAUGACGGCCUUAGGGUUGUAAACCGCUUUCAGGAGGGAAGAAAAUGACGGUACCUCCAGAAGAAGCUCCGGCCAACUACGUGCCAGCAGCCGCGGUAAUACGUAGGGAGCAAACGUUGUCCGGAUUUAUUGGGCGUAAAGGGCUCGUAGGCGGUUCAACAAGUCGGUCGUGAAAGUCUGGGGCUCAACCCCAGGAAGCCGGUCGAAACUGUUGUGACUAGAGUUCGGUAGAGGUGAGUGGAACUCUCGGUGUAGCGGUGGAAUGCGCAGAUAUCGAGAAGAACACCAUUAGCGAAGGCGGCUCACUGGGCCGAUACUGACGCUGAGGAGCGAAAGCAUGGGGAGCAAACAGGAUUAGAUACCCUGGUAGUCCAUGCCGUAAACGAUGAACACUAGGUGUAGCGGAUUAAUUCAUGUCUGCUGUG